This 252-nucleotide long non-coding RNA is filed under the name Elaeis guineensis (African oil palm). RNAcentral describes it as "long non-coding RNA (EGUI_LNC020866)". The record is from RNAcentral. Lineage: Eukaryota; Viridiplantae; Streptophyta; Magnoliopsida; Arecales; Arecaceae.
UCCCAUUAAAACAUGAUAAAUCCAUCAGGUACUCAGACCCAUUAGAUUAACCUUUAUUUGGGUUGGAUUAUUCGGAUAUCUAAACCUAUUUAUAUAACCAAUGAUUAGACUUCUUGAAGGCAUGGAGCUCAAAUCCUCUCACCAAAAAAAUUCAGAAUAGAAAACAAAAUAGGGGCCGAAGCCUCUAUUUCAAUCAAGACCUCCCUCCAUCUUUCCGGUGGAUUCAAUAGUGGCACAACUACCUCAGCAGCC